This is a non-coding RNA of Xyrichtys novacula (pearly razorfish), 1816 nucleotides long. The record is from the annotation of a GenBank genome assembly. Lineage: Eukaryota; Metazoa; Chordata; Actinopteri; Labriformes; Labridae.
GCCAGAUUUCUGGAUAAACGGGCCGCUCCAUCUCGAGUGGGAUGAAUGCCGUCCCAACUAAUCAGACCAGGCUUGCCCCAAAAUGACUUCCAAUUAUCAAUGAAGCCCACGCCGUUUUGCGGACACCACCUCGACAGCCAGCGGUUGAAUGAUGAGAUACGGCUACACAUCUCAUCAGUUGUCUGAUCAGGCAGGAGACCAGAGAAAACUACGGAGUCCGACAUGGUUUUGGCAUAUUCACACACCGAUUCCACGUUCAAUUUAGUGACUUCCGACUGGCGGCGUCGGGAGUCAUUAACGCCGACAUGUAUUACAAUCUUACGGAAUUUACGUUUAGCCUUUGCCAGCAGUUUUAAACUACCUUUGAUGUCGCCCGCUCUGGCCCCCGGAAGACACUGAACUGUGGCCGCUGACUUCGCUAAUUUCACAUUUCGGACUACAGAGUCUCCAAUCACAAGAGCGUCGGGCUCAGCAGGUGUGUUGCUGAGAGGGGCAAAUUUGUUUGAAAUGUGAAUAUGGUGGUCUAACGUGGGCUUCUUAGGCCUACUGCUAUGCUUCCCUUUCACAGUGACCCAAGCACUACUACAUCCCGGCUGCUCGGGAUUCGCCGGGGGGGAGGCUAAGCUAGGUCGACCCGCACCGGCUACCGUGUCCUGGCUGGCUACCGCUACACUAGCAUCGGUGCGGAGCCGCUUUUCUAACUCUGUAAUCCUCGCCUCCAGAGCUAAGAAUAAACUACACUUAAAGCAGGUAUCGUUAUCGUCUAAAGAGGACGAGGAGUAACUAAACAUCUGACACACUGAGCAGAAGCGAGCAGGAGAGGCAGGAGACCGGGGGGAAGCCAUCAUUAGCAAGUGUAGCUAAGAGAAGCUGAGCUAAGAGAAGCUAGGAGCUAGUAAAGUAAAUGAUCAGAGAGAUCACCCGGAGUGGAGAUAAAGACGGUGCUUGGUGAAAACUAUCAGAAAUACUUACAGACUUUUUGAACAAACAGAUGUACUGAUAGAUUACAGAGAGAAAAUAACCCAAAAUAGCAAGAGCGCUUUCAGGAGGAACAAAACGCUACACACAGUUCAACAACAAGGAAGGGAAUGAAGCAAUGCGCACGCUCACCAGUCAGGAGGAGGAGUCCACGAAUCCUUUAGGCAUACUGAUGUGCGGCCUCGGGGGCGAGGCUUCCAAUAUCUCGUGGACUGGGAGGGGUACGGUCCAGAGGAGCGGUCCUGGAUCCCCUGCUCCCUCAUCCUGGACCAUCAACUCCUUGACGACUUCUACACCGCUCACUCCAAGAAACCCGGCAAAACGCCAAGAGGCAUUCAUUGAGAGGGGGGUACUGUGGUGAGACGCCUCCUCCUUUUGUUUUAUUUUGGCUGGACUUCCUGUGUUUCCGUGUUCGCCUGGUCUGGCUUUACUCUCUUCCAGAGCUUCCUCCCCUCCCCCGGUUGCUGAGGCUGAGUGAGACUACACACCUGCUCUUCAUCUACAAUCAAGGCACUUUAAGAAGCCAGCAGCCCUCAGUCUCAACACCUGAGUAUUGUCUUCACUUCCAAGUGGUAUAGACGUGUCUCCUGGCCUCCUUCCUUUGAAAUUAGUAUUCGUAUUCUGCUCCAGAUUCAUUGUAUGUUCACUCACUUCCCUCUCCUCUGUUUUUCCUGCAGUGUCUCCAGCCCACACGACAGCCAGCCAACCAGCCUCCCGGACUUCCUCUUUUUUGCCUUUAAACCUGAGUUUGAACAUUAAAAUUACACCUUAAGUUGAUCUCUGUCUCUGUGUCUGCUUCUGGGUCCUCACAACUCACCAGUCACGCCACACUUUUGGC